GAUGAAGAACGCAGCGAAAUGCGAUAAGUAAUGCGAAUUGCAGAAUUUCCGUGAAUCAUCGAAUCUUUGAACGCACAUUGCGCCCGCCAGUAUUCUGGCGGGCAUGCCUGUUCGAGCGUCAUUACAACCCUCAGGCCCCCGGGCCUGGCGUUGGGGAUCGGCGGAGCCCCCCGUGGGCACACGCCGUCCCCCAAAUGCAGUGGCGGUCCCGCCGCAGCUUCCAUCGCGUAGUAGCUAACACCUCGCGACUGGAGAGCGGCGCGGCCACGCCGUAAAACACCCAACUCUUCUGAAGUUGACCUCGAAUCAGGUAGGAAUACCCGCUGAACUUAAGCAUAUCAAUAAGCGGAGGA
Molecule: unclassified non-coding RNA, 353 nt
Filed under: soil metagenome
Description: partial contains 5.8S ribosomal RNA, internal transcribed spacer 2, and large subunit ribosomal RNA
Rfam family: 5.8S ribosomal RNA (bases 1-121)
Source: RNAcentral